Molecule: ribosomal RNA, 253 nt
Filed under: uncultured bacterium
Lineage: Bacteria
Description: partial 16S ribosomal RNA
Rfam family: Bacterial small subunit ribosomal RNA
Source: RNAcentral
UACAGAGGGGGCAAGCGUUGUUCGGAAUUACUGGGCGUAAAGGGCGCGUAGGCGGCGUGCUAAGUCGAACGUGAAAUCCCCGGGCUCAACCCGGGAACUGCGUCCGAGACUGGCAUGCUUGAAUCCGGGAGAGGGAUGUGGAAUUCCAGGUGUAGAGGUGAAAUUCGUAGAUAUCGAGAGGAACACCGGUGGCGAAGGCGGCCUUCUGGACAGUGACUGACGCUGAGACGCGAAAGCGUGGGGAGCAAACAGG